AUCGUACGAUUUCGAAACGGGGCUUGUGGAUGCUUAUCUGUAGGUAAAGAUUGUCGUGUAAUUAUUAAUGCCCUUCUCCUUCCACAGAAAGCUUUAUAUUCAUCCUCGUCGUUUUGAUUGAAGGUCAUGGUUGCUUUAUUGAUCAGUUUCAUCCUGGCAGUUCCAGGACAUUUUGGAUGUUUUACGUCUGCUCUCGCGGCCAGUCCAAAACAGUGCGUGCACUGAUAGCCAAAGUUACUAUGACAUGAAGUGACGUGCCUCUCCGCAUACUGAUAUUUGGCGAAUUCUGCGUUCAUACAUAGUUUACACCCAUAAAAAAAAAAUAAAAAUAAAGAGUUGAUAAUUUAUGACAUCUUUAACCAAUUGGGUAUAUUAUUUCCCGUAUACGGUUUCAGAUGAUUAUGGUGGACCAUUUUAGGUUGGGUCUUUGGGGAUUUUUGUAUUUUAUAGACUACAUUAUUAAGACAUUUUGUCACCAGGUAGGGUCCCUCCCAUGGACACCUUAACUUUGAACCUCCACCUUUGUAUUUGUGGUUAUAAUACCAUACAGGACUGCCGGCAUUGUAUGGAUUUAAUUGAAUAGAUCUAUCGUGAUCAACUUUCAUGUUUGCCGUGGCUUGUUUUAAACGCCCUCUAGCAAAACUAUGUAUUCGUUCUAUUUUAUUUUGUAAGUCAAAAGCAUAGUCUGACUUUAUUUUUAAAUUUGUAGGUUCCACUGAUCCGAGAAUGAGAUCUACUGGAAGACGGAUGUUGCGGCCGAAGACCAUUUCACAUGGAGAAACGCCCAGUGAUUCGUGUUCUGCAGAACGAUACGCUGACAUGAGAAGGGAAGAGGAAGAUAAUGGAUUUUUGUUUAAUUGGUCUAUUGGAGCACUUGUGCAAGCCAAAACAUUAAGGUUUUCAUUGGAGGUUUGCUUGUUGGAGCCUCUGGAAGACUUUUUUUAAAUUGGAUAAGUGCUCGUCAAAGGAUUUUGCAAAGAUAAUGAUAUCAUCCAGGGGGACGCGACGAGGAUGCUGACGAAUUGGUGGAGCACAACCAGUAUUAAUCCAAUGCUCAGCUUCAUUGGUGAUGCCUAUAUCAGAUGAAUCUUUGGAAAAGGAGCUACGUGAUGAUUGCUGCAAUGGUUGUCCCUUAUUUAGGGUAUUUAUCAAGUGUUUGGUAGUUUUAUCCAAUGAUGUGAUUGAACCAUUCAAGAUUUUUCCGUUGAUCCAAAACGAAUACUUAGGAGGGUUGUGAGGGUAUGGAAAUCCGUUCUCUGGAUAGUAUUUAAUUCUGACAAGAUUGUCCUGGCGUUUCCAGACAAACUACUGGCUAGUUCCUGAGACAUCACCAUCAACUGAUUCUACCGAGGGCAUAUCCGGAUCAGUGUCUGGGAUAAUUUCGAACUCUGGGGACAAGGAUUUGGUUGCC
Molecule: long non-coding RNA, 1411 nt
Organism: Patella vulgata (common limpet)
Lineage: Eukaryota; Metazoa; Mollusca; Gastropoda; Patellidae
Exons: 7
Source: RefSeq, a predicted model, not a curated record